GGGAUCAUUACACAAAUAUGAAGGCGGGCUGGAACCUCUCGGGGUUACAGCCUUGCUGAAUUAUUCACCCUUGUCUUUUGCGUACUUCUUGUUUCCUUGGUGGGUUCGCCCACCACUAGGACAAACAUAAACCUUUUGUAAUUGCAAUCAGCGUCAGUAACAAAUUAAUAAUUACAACUUUCAACAACGGAUCUCUUGUUUCUGGCAUCGAUGAAGAACGCAGCGAAAUGCGAUAAGUAGUGUGAAUUGCAGAAUUCAGUGAAUCAUCGAAUCUUUGAACGCACAUUGCGCCCUAUGGUAUUCCAAAGGGCAUGCCUGUUCGAGCGUCAUUUGUACCCUCAAGCUUUGCUUGGUGUUGGGCGUCUUGUCUCUAGCUUUGCUGGAGACUCGCCUUAAAGUAAUUGGCAGCCGGCCUACUGGUUUCGGAGCGCAGCACAAGUCGCACUCUCUAUCAGCAAAGGUCUAGCAUCCACUAAGCCUUUUUUUCAACUUUUGACCUCGGAUCAGGUAGGGAUACCCGCUGAACUUAAGCAUAUCAAUAAGCGGAGGA
This 550-nucleotide small RNA is filed under the name uncultured Alternaria. RNAcentral's name for it is "eukaryotic LSU rRNA". The stretch from base 176 to 329 matches the Rfam family "5.8S ribosomal RNA". Lineage: Eukaryota; Fungi; Ascomycota; Dothideomycetes; Pleosporales; Pleosporaceae. The record is from RNAcentral.